Molecule: long non-coding RNA, 227 nt
Organism: Rosa chinensis
Lineage: Eukaryota; Viridiplantae; Streptophyta; Magnoliopsida; Rosales; Rosaceae
Exons: 3
Source: RefSeq, a predicted model, not a curated record
CAUAAAUGGGAAGUCUGGGCAAAUUUAUUUGGUCCCAUAUAAUUCAGGUGGUCAUUGGACAUUGUCUGCUGUGAAUCCAGCUGAAGAAACCAUUCACUUCAUGGAUCCGUUAAAGAGGCGACUCAUCGCUGGUGAAUGGAAAACAAUUCUGGACAACUCCAUUAAAAUCUACAAUGCACACAAGAAUAAGAAAGGGAAGAAAACCAUUCAAUGGAAAAAUCUUGCUG